CACGGUUGUCCUAACUCGUAUACACUCUAUUAUUGCUACUUCCUUCCUUGCAUCAAUCUGUACCAAUAAAAAUAGGAGGGAGAAUAUUGGAGAAGAGAGAAAGCGUGGAAUGCUGAGAUCUUGUGGUAGAAUCAAUACGAAAGUUUAGGGGAGAAGUUGGGUUGUGUAUAUGGGGGGUAGUAGUACAUUUGUUGAUGGAGUUCUUCGAUGGUUUCAUCAUCGUCGUCACACUAAUGAAGAUGCAAUCUUGACUCAAACCCACAAUUCUACAGAUACCCAUUUACAAGAAAAACAACACGAAUUUACUAUUACUGAAGACUUUGACUUCACCGGUUUAAAGCUCAUCAAAGUACCCAAGCGUUUUCAUUUGCCUAUUUCUUCUUCUUCUUCUUCCAUGGAUCCUACCAAAAAGAAUGCGUUAGAGACGGAAUUCUUUACUGAAUAUGGAGAGGCAAGUAGAUACCAAGUUCAGGAAGUAAUUGGCAAAGGAAGCUAUGGAGUUGUGGGUUCUGCUGUUGAUACACAUACUGGUGAAAGAGUUGCAAUCAAGAAAAUUAAUGAUGUCUUUGACCAUGUUUCUGAUGCGACAAGAAUCUUGAGAGAAAUUAAGCUUCUUCGGCUACUUAGGCAUCCAGAUAUCGUAGAAAUAAAGCACAUUAUGUUGCCUCCUUCUCGAAGAGA
RNAcentral lists this unclassified non-coding RNA (681 nucleotides) under Hevea brasiliensis (rubber tree). The record is from RNAcentral. Lineage: Eukaryota; Viridiplantae; Streptophyta; Magnoliopsida; Malpighiales; Euphorbiaceae.